UACGUAGGUGGCAAGCGUUGUUCGGAAUUAUUGGGCGUAAAGGGCGCGUAGGCGGUUUGUUAAGUCGGUUGUGAAAGCCCGGGGCUCAACCCCGGAGAGUCGACCGAUACUGGCAAACUAGAGUACAGAAGAGGUAGCUGGAAUUCCUGGUGUAGCGGUGAAAUGCGUAGAUAUCAGGAGGAACACCUGAGGCGAAGGCGGGCUACUGGGCUGAUACUGACGCUGAUGCGCGAAAGCCAGGGGAGCAAACGGG
RNAcentral lists this ribosomal RNA (253 nucleotides) under uncultured bacterium. RNAcentral describes it as "partial 16S ribosomal RNA". It matches the Rfam family "Bacterial small subunit ribosomal RNA", at positions 524 to 776 of the family's 1533-position model. The record is from RNAcentral.